RNAcentral lists this long non-coding RNA (1219 nucleotides) under Piliocolobus tephrosceles (Ugandan red Colobus). RNAcentral describes it as "lncRNA (ENSPTEG00000005009.1)". The record is from RNAcentral. Lineage: Eukaryota; Metazoa; Chordata; Mammalia; Primates; Cercopithecidae.
AUGUAACUGCCUUUACAUCCUUUUCUAUUUAUUUUUAUUUUACAUUCAUGAAUUUCCAAAAAUGAUUGGAUAUAAGUGAUGACGAACGAGCGAAUUAAUUAAUCAACAAAUGAGUGAACUAAUUAAUCGAUAAACGAACAAACUAAUUAGUUGACAAACGAACAGAAUAGUCGAACAGGGACGUAAAGCGGACACAUAAAACAGCCGAACAGAAUGCGAAUACGCCUAUAUAACAUACUUUAUGCUUUCUUAUUCCUCAUAAAUGGUAUAUUAUCAUAUAAUGGAAAAAAUACAAACAAAAUUGUAACUGAAAAUAUACAAAAGUCGUACGAUUUUAAUUUUAGUAAAAAAAGAAAAAACACAAAGUUAAAUAGUUUUUGUACUUUACAAUAUAAUAAUGUGAAAAUACUACAAAGAAAGAAAGUGAAUAAUAAAAUAAAACCUUACUUUAUUAGCAUGUCUCAGCCGUUUUGUAGUGUAAACAGAGAAGAUGGGAGAGAGCACAGAUAUAAUAAUACGAACCAUAACAUAUGUAAUUACAGUAGUAAACGAAAAUUUCGAUGCAGGAAUUAUGAUGCAAAAGAUAUAAUCAUUUUAGAAGGGUUAGAGGCUGUUCGAAAAAGGCCUGGGAUGUAUAUAGGCAACACAGAUGUGAAUGGUUUGCACCAAUUGUUAUUUGAACUCGUUGACAAUGCUGUAGACGAAUAUAAUAAUUUUGAAUGUAAUAAAAUAAAAGUGAUUAUUCAUAAUGAUGAAAGUAUAACAGUUGAAGAUAACGGACGAGGUAUUCCAUGUGAUAUCCAUGAUAAAACAGGAAAGUCAGCAUUAGAAACUGUUUUAACAGUUUUACAUUCUGGUGCCAAAUUUUAUGAUGAUUAUACCGAAAACAAUAUAGUACAGAGUAAUGGGUAUAAAACAAUGCAGUGUGAAAAGUCAAGUGAUCGUACUAAAGGAAGCCAUGAAGUUGGUAAAAAUAUAUCAGAGAACACAAUUGAAGGGGAUAAUAGUAAUAAUAGCAACCAAAAAAAAAACAAAGCGAAACAACAAGAAAACAACAAAAUGUAUAAAUAUUCAUCAGGGUUACACGGAGUUGGUCUAUCGGUUUCUAAUGCAUUAAGUAGCUAUAUGAAAGUGAAGGUGUUUCGAAAUAAAAAAAUUUAUAGUAUUGAGCUUGAAAAAGGUAAAGUUGUAAAAGAGUUAAAUGUGAUGACUGAUUCUG